AACCGACUAAUGUUGAAAAAUUAGCGGAUGACCUGUGGCUGGGGGUGAAAGGCCAAUCAAACCGGGAGAUAGCUGGUUCUCCCCGAAAGCUAUUUAGGUAGCGCCUCGUGAAUUCAUCUCCGGGGGUAGAGCACUGUUUCGGCUAGGGGGCCAUCCCGGCUUACCAACCCGAUGCAAACUGCGAAUACCGGAGAAUGUUAUCACGGGAGACACACGGCGGGUGCUAACGUCCGUCGUGAAGAGGGAAACAACCCAGACCGCCAGCUAAGGUCCCAAAGUCAUGGUUAAGUGGGAAACGAUGUGGGAAGGCCCAGACAGCCAGGAUGUUGGCUUAGAAGCAGCCAUCAUUUAAAGAAAGCGUAAUAGCUCACUGGUCGAGUCGGCCUGCGCGGAAGAUGUAACGGGGCUAAACCAUGCACCGAAGCUGCGGCAGCGACACUAUGUGUUGUUGGGUAGGGGAGCGUUCUGUAAGCCUGUGAAGGUGUGUCGUGAGGCAUGCUGGAGGUAUCAGAAGUGCGAAUGCUGACAUAAGUAACGAUAAAGCGGGUGAAAAGCCCGCUCGCCGGAAGACCAAGGGUUCCUGUCCAACGUUAAUCGGGGCAGGGUGAGUCGACCCCUAAGGCGAGGCCGAAAGGCGUAGUCGAUGGGAAACGGGUUAAUAUUCCCGUACUUGGUGUUACUGCGAAGGGGGGACGGAGAAGGCUAUGUUGGCCGGGCGACGGUUGUCCCGGUUUAAGCGUGUAGGUGUGUGUUCCAGGUAAAUCCGGUUCACUUUAACACUGAGGCGUGAUGACGAGGCACUACGGUGCUGAAGCAACAAAUGCCCUGCUUCCAGGAAAAGCCUCUAAGCAUCAGGUAACAUCAAAUCGUACCCCAAACCGACACAGGUGGUCAGGUAGAGAAUACCAAGGCGCUUGAGAGAACUCGGGUGAAGGAACUAGGCAAAAUGGUGCCGUAACUUCGGGAGAAGGCACGCUGACACGUAGGUGAAGUGAUUUACUCAUGGAGCUGAAGUCAGUCGAAGAUACCAGCUGGCUGCAACUGUUUAUUAAAAACACAGCACUGUGCAAACACGAAAGUGGACGUAUACGGUGUGACGCCUGCCCGGUGCCGGAAGGUUAAUUGAUGGGGUCAGCGCAAGCGAAGCUCCUGAUCGAAGCCCCGGUAAACGGCGGCCGUAACUAUAACGGUCCUAAGGUAGCGAAAUUCCUUGUCGGGUAAGUUCCGACCUGCACGAAUGGCGUAAUGAUGGCCAGGCUGUCUCCACCCGAGACUCAGUGAAAUUGAACUCGCUGUGAAGAUGCAGUGUACCCGCGGCAAGACGGAAAGACCCCGUGAACCUUUACUAUAGCUUGACACUGAACAUUGAGCCUUGAUGUGUAGGAUAGGUGGGAGGCUUUGAAGUGUGGACGCCAGUCUGCAUGGAGCCGACCUUGAAAUACCACCCUUUAAUGUUUGAUGUUCUAACGUGGACCCGUAAUCCGGGUUGCGGACAGUGUCUGGUGGGUAGUUUGACUGGGGCGGUCUCCUCCUAAAGAGUAACGGAGGAGCACGAAGGUUGGCUAAUCCUGGUCGGACAUCAGGAGGUUAGUGCAAUGGCAUAAGCCAGCUUGACUGCGAGCGUGACGGCGCGAGCAGGUGCGAAAGCAGGUCAUAGUGAUCCGGUGGUUCUGAAUGGAAGGGCCAUCGCUCAACGGAUAAAAGGUACUCCGGGGAUAACAGGCUGAUACCGCCCAAGAGUUCAUAUCGACGGCGGUGUUUGGCACCUCGAUGUCGGCUCAUCACAUCCUGGGGCUGAAGUAGGUCCCAAGGGUAUGGCUGUUCGCCAUUUAAAGUGGUACGCGAGCUGGGUUUAGAACGUCGUGAGACAGUUCGGUCCCUAUCUGCCGUGGGCGCUGGAGAACUGAGGGGGGCUGCUCCUAGUACGAGAGGACCGGAGUGGACGCAUCACUGGUGUUCGGGUUGUCAUGCCAAUGGCACUGCCCGGUAGCUAAAUGCGGAAGAGAUAAGUGCUGAAAGCAUCUAAGCACGAAACUUGCCCCGAGAUGAGUUCUCCCUGAGACUUAAAGUCUCCUGAAGGAACGUUGAAGACGACGACGUUGAUAGG
Molecule: ribosomal RNA, 2107 nt
Filed under: Salmonella enterica subsp. enterica serovar Mikawasima
Lineage: Bacteria; Pseudomonadati; Pseudomonadota; Gammaproteobacteria; Enterobacterales; Enterobacteriaceae
Description: partial 23S ribosomal RNA
Rfam family: Bacterial large subunit ribosomal RNA
Source: RNAcentral